This 424-nucleotide ribosomal RNA is filed under the name uncultured Sutterella sp. RNAcentral describes it as "bacterial SSU rRNA". It matches the Rfam family "Bacterial small subunit ribosomal RNA", at positions 338 to 759 of the family's 1533-position model. Lineage: Bacteria; Pseudomonadati; Pseudomonadota; Betaproteobacteria; Burkholderiales; Sutterellaceae. The record is from RNAcentral.
CCUACGGGAGGCAGCAGUGAGGAAUAUUGGUCAAUGGACGAGAGUCUGAACCAGCCAAGUAGCGUGAAGGAUGAAGGUUCUAUGGAUUGUAAACUUCUUUUAUACGGGAAUAAACGAAUCCACGUGUGGAUUUUUGCAUGUACCGUAUGAAUAAGGAUCGGCUAACUCCGUGCCAGCAGCCGCGGUAAUACGGAGGAUCCGAGCGUUAUCCGGAUUUAUUGGGUUUAAAGGGAGCGUAGGCGGACGCUUAAGUCAGUUGUGAAAGUUUGCGGCUCAACCGUAAAAUUGCAGUUGAUACUGGGUGUCUUGAGUACAGUAGAGGCAGGCGGAAUUCGUGGUGUAGCGGUGAAAUGCUUAGAUAUCACGAAGAACUCCGAUUGCGAAGGCAGCUUACCAAACUAUAUCUGACGUUGAGGCACGAAAG